GUCAUAAUUAAGUUUCCUGUUACUCUGUCAAACAGCACAAGCGUGAAUAUGAUCCGGGACUCGCAUCCCGACCAAAUGUCGGCAGCAGGUGCGGUACAGCGGGUUUGAUCUCUCUCCCCCACUAUCCCACAUCCCCACCACCUUUCGAUUUGCAAUGAUCCUUCCGCAGGUUCACCUACGGAAA
This 184-nucleotide unclassified non-coding RNA is filed under the name uncultured fungus. RNAcentral's name for it is "sequence contains ITS1". The record is from RNAcentral. Lineage: Eukaryota; Fungi.